This 543-nucleotide ribosomal RNA is filed under the name Triticum aestivum (bread wheat). Its description in RNAcentral is "partial small subunit ribosomal RNA". Lineage: Eukaryota; Viridiplantae; Streptophyta; Magnoliopsida; Poales; Poaceae. The record is from RNAcentral.
AUGGGUAGAAUCAAUGUUAAUCCUAUUUGGGCUAAGAUCUGGAAGCUAUCCUGUCCGACAAAGGUAAAAAAUUUCAUCUGGCGUACAUUGCAUGGAACCCUCCCAUGCCGUGUUACGCUCACUAAUAGACAUAUGAAAGUUUUGCCCAUCGGCCCAUCAUGCUCAAAUGGUCCGGAAGAUACAAAACAUGUCUUGUUUCAAUGUCAAAAGGCGAAAGAGGUUUGGGACAAGUUAGGAUUGUAUGAGGUGAUCAAUAGAGCUUGUGUUGUCGAUCGGGCAGGUGAAUCAGUUUAUGAAUUUUUACUACUUAUGGCAGACCAAGAAUUGUCCAAUUUGGGCCUCAACAACGCACGCGAAUUGAUCGCUAUAACAACUUGUUAUCUAUGAUGGGAGAGACGAAAACUGGUUCAUGAAGGAAAAUCUCCAGAUGCAUAUCAAACUUCAAUGGGGGCUCGUGCUAUAACGGUGAACUAUGUUAACACAUACUCCCCUAAGGCAACCAGUAAAAUAGGGGGAUGGAGCAGACCUCUAUGGGCUUUGUGA